GAAAGGCCAAGGUCCGUAGGCUGAGCAUCCCGCUGGGAUGAGGGCGGCAGAUUGGGGUUGGGAUUCUCUGGACGGGUGCACAGUCCCCAGCUGGACUGCUGGGGUCAAGGGCUGCACUGAGCACACGUCAAAGUAGAGGCCUGGGCCCCGCAUAGGACUUGAAUUAGACGCUGUAUCUGAGAUGAGCUAGGCUGGGCUCAGUCUGUAGGCAUGACUGGGGGCUGAGGCCUUCCAGAAACUUCUAGAACUUGUUCGCCUCUCCCUAUCCCUACUUCUUCUCUACAUGCAUAGCCUGAGUUACUGCUGUCUCCUCCCGGACCUACCCUUUCCAGACCAUUCUCUCUACUGCCCAGAUAAUCUUUCUAAACCGUGGAGCUGAUCCCUCCACACUGCUGCUUAAAUUCCUGCAUAAUCUCUCUGUUGUCUUCUGGAAGAAAUCCAAACCACCCCACCCAGCUAGCAGAGCCACACCUCUCCUGGCCUGUCCAGCUCCAUCUCUCAGCACCCUCUUGCAUGUGCCUGCUGAUACCUCGUACCAGGGAUACCUCGUACCAGGGAUACCUCGUGCCUGUCAUACCUCUGUGAGCAGCAGCCCAGGCCUCACCUCCUGACCACCCCAGCCUUCUCCCAGCAAGAUGACUUAUUUUGGAAAAAGUCACCUGCCAUGUCAUGAGAACAUUCAAGCAGCCCUGUGGAGAAAUCCAUGUGGUGAGGAACAGAGGCCUCUUGCCAACAGGCAGAAGAACCCGGCAGGCCUGUCUCAGAUUCAGAGCCUCCAGCCCCAGUCGAGCAUUCAGAUAACUGCAGCCUUGGCUGACAUCUUGACUACAAGCUCAUGCCAGAUCCUGAGCUGGAACUACUCUGCUAAGUUGUUUACAAAUGCCUGACCCACAGAGAGACUGUGAGACCAAAGAAGUAUAUUGUUUUUAGACGUUUUGGAGUAAUUUAUUAUGCUGCAAUGGAUAAUUAAUACGGAAUUUGGUGGUUUUAUGAUUCUCAACUCCUGGCCAAAGCAAAGCACAUAGCAAAUCUCAAAGAAAGGUCUCACAACUGGAUUGAAAGUACAAAGCUGGCCAGGCAAGCCUGUGCAGACAUGUAUGUGGUGGAGUUGAAAACCACACACUACAACUCAAACGAGAUGAGAAACCCAAGGCUCUAAGAGACCCUGUCCUGUAAUUUGCUCAAGAAUAAGAAGCUGCUACAUCUGAAAUCUUAUCCUUCUAACCCCUCUAUCUGGGAUCUUUGCACAGGCAUGGCACCUCUCUUGAGUACCUAAGUUAAAAAUUCUUGCUCUGUCACUUAGGAACUCCACCUUGGGCAAGUUCUCAAAGUCUCUGUGCCUUACUUUAAAAAAUAUGCUUCUUGCCAGGCGUGGUGAUCACACCUGCAAUCCCGGCACUUUUGGGAAGCUGAGGUGGGCAGAUCAUCCUGGCCAACAUGGUGAAACCCCAUCUCUACUAAAAAUACAAAAAUUAGCUGGGCAUGGUGGUGCGUGCCUGUAAUCCCAGCUACUUGAGAGGCUGAGGCAGGAGAAUCACUUGAACCCAGGAGGCGGAGGUUGCAGUGGGCUGAGACUGUGCCACUGCACUCCAGCCUGGGCAACAGAGCAAGGCUCCAUCUCAAAAAAAAAAAAAAAAGCUUUCUUUAAUAAAUGCACUUCAUUGAGGGAUAAUUUACAUACAAUAAAUGCACAGAUUUUAAGUUCACAGCUUGAUGAAUGUUGACAAAUGUACACCCCCAUGUAAUAACCACAUAGUCAAGACAUGGAACAUUGUUCUCACCCCAGAAAGCCCUUCCUUCUGUGCAAACAAAAGGAAGCAAACGAAACUGUCUGCCUCAGAGUGUUAGGAAAAUCAAAUGCGAUAACACAGGUGAGAGAGAUCCUUAGAGAGGCACCUGGCAUGCAGGAAGCGCUGGUUAGAAUGCAUUGCUAUCAUUCACUGGCCGGGGCAGGGAUCAGUGCUGGACCACCUCCUUACCCCAGCCUAAGGGCAUUCAGCCCAACCAGGAGAAGACUUGGGGGGCUGGAAUAUGUGUCUUGAAGGAGACUUGGAACCAUUUCUGUAUGUCUCCAGAAGCCCUGAUACAGCUGGGGAUGGAGGAAUUGGCCGCUUUUGUCUAUGUUUGGCUCAAAGACAGGGUUUUGCAAACACUGCUCACUGAAACCUCAAACUCCUGGGCUCAAGCAGUCCUGCCUCAGCCUCCUGAGUAGCUGGGACUAUAGGUAUAUACCACCAUGCCAGGCUAAUUUUUAAAUUUUUUGUAGAGAUGGAGGAGUCUUGCUAUGCUUCCCAGGGUGGUCUCAAACUCCUGGCCUCAAGUGAUCCUCCCGCCUUGGCCUCCCAAAGUGAGCCUGGACAUCCUCUGUUCUUUCUGGACUCGAAGGACGAAGGCACUUCUGGCAGGGAUAGCUUCACAGGUUGGCCAAGGCAGCUGCACAGGGCCUUGCUGUCAGAAAGUCUCCACACAUGUCAUGUGAAAUCCUUAAUAAUUUUUGAACACGGGAUCUUGCAUUUUCAUUUUGCUCUGGGCCCCACAAAUUACAUAGCCGGUGGUGGUGGUGGGGAGGGUGGAGCAAGCUGGCUAGUUUCCUCCCUGGAAAAGCUAUGGCCCUUCCCACUUCCACCCACUGACAACACACAGCCACACAUGCUCAUUCACCUCCAUGGUCCCCUCUCUGCCCUCUCCACAGUGGGGCAUCUAGGAGAAUCUGGGUCACUCAGGGCCCUCCAAUGUCAGCAGACACCAAUGGAACCUGGAAGCCCACUUGGCCUGGAAACCCCCUUGGGGACAGCUCCUGCUUACACAGAGCCUGCUGGCCAGGCCGCCCAAAUUCCCAUCCUCUGACAGUCCUCUCCA
Non-coding RNA from Callithrix jacchus (white-tufted-ear marmoset), 2859 nucleotides. The record is from RefSeq and is a predicted model, not a curated record. NCBI's taxonomy places the organism in Eukaryota, Metazoa, Chordata, Mammalia, Primates, Cebidae.